Molecule: ribosomal RNA, 490 nt
Filed under: uncultured bacterium
Lineage: Bacteria
Description: partial 16S ribosomal RNA
Rfam family: Bacterial small subunit ribosomal RNA
Source: RNAcentral
AUUGAACGCUGGCGGCAGGCCUAACACAUGCAAGUCGAACGGUAACAGGAAGCAGCUUGCUGCUUUGCUGACGAGUGGCGGACGGGUGAGUAAUGUCUGGGAAACUUCCUGAUGGAGGGGGAUAACUACUGGAAACGGUAGCUAAUACCGCAUAACGUCGCAAGACCAAAGAGGGGGACCUUCGGGCCUCUUGCCAUCGGAUGUGCCCAGAUGGGAUUAGCUAGUAGGUGGGGUAACGGCUCACCUAGGCGACGAUCCCUAGCUGGUCUGAGAGGAUGACCAGCCACACUGGAACUGAGACACGGUCCAGACUCCUACGGGAGGCAGCAGUGGGGAAUAUUGCACAAAGGGCGCAAGCCUGAUGCAGCCAUGCCGCGUGUAUGAAGAAGGCCUUCGGGUUGUAAAGUACUUUCAGCGGGGAGGAAGGGAGUAAAGUUAAUACCUUUGCUCAUUGACGUUACCCGCAGAAGAAGCACCGGCUAACUCCGUG